GAGUUUGAUCAUGGCUCAGAUUGAACGCUGGCGGCAUGCCUUACACAUGCAAGUCGAACGGCAGCAUGAUCUAGCUUGCUAGAUUGAUGGCGAGUGGCGAACGGGUGAGUAAUACAUCGGAACGUGCCCUGUAGUGGGGGAUAACUAGUCGAAAGAUUAGCUAAUACCGCAUACGACCUGAGGGUGAAAGUGGGGGACCGCAAGGCCUCAUGCUAUAGGAGCGGCCGAUGUCUGAUUAGCUAGUUGGUGAGGUAAAGGCUCACCAAGGCGACGAUCAGUAGCUGGUCUGAGAGGACGAUCAGCCACACUGGGACUGAGACACGGCCCAGACUCCUACGGGAGGCAGCAGUGGGGAAUUUUGGACAAUGGGGGCAACCCUGAUCCAGCAAUGCCGCGUGUGUGAAGAAGGCCUUCGGGUUGUAAAGCACUUUUGUCCGGAAAGAAAUCGCACUUACUAAUAUUAGGUGUGGAUGACGGUACCGGAAGAAUAAGGACCGGCUAACUACGUGCCAGCAGCCGCGGUAAUACGUAGGGUCCAAGCGUUAAUCGGAAUUACUGGGCGUAAAGCGUGCGCAGGCGGUUGUGCAAGACCGAUGUGAAAUCCCCGGGCUUAACCUGGGAAUUGCAUUGGUGACUGCACGGCUAGAGUGUGUCAGAGGGGGGUAGAAUUCCACGUGUAGCAGUGAAAUGCGUAGAGAUGUGGAGGAAUACCGAUGGCGAANGCAGCCCCCUGGGAUAACACUGACGCUCAUGCACGAAAGCGUGGGGAGCAAACAAGAUUAGAUACCCUGGUAGUCCACGCCCUAAACGAUGUCAACUAGUUGUUGGGGAUUCAUUUCCUUAGUAACGUAGCUAACGCGUGAAAGUUGACCGCCUGGGGAGUACGGUCGCAAGAUUAAAACUCAAAGGAAUUGACGGGGACCCGCACAAGCGGUGGAUGAUGUGGAUUAAUUCGAUGCAACGCGAAAAACCUUACCUACCCUUGGCAUGCCACUAACGAAGCAGAGAUGCAUUAGGUGCUCGAAAGAGAAAGUGGACACAGGUGCUGCAUGGCUGUCGUCAGCUCGUGUCGUGAGAUGUUGGGUUAAGUCCCGCAACGAGCGCAACCCUUGUCUCUAGUUGCUACGAAAGGGCACUCUAGAGAGACUGCCGGUGACAAACCGGAGGAAGGUGGGGAUGACGUCAAGUCCUCAUGGCCCUUAUGGGUAGGGCUUCACACGUCAUACAAUGGUGCAUACAGAGGGUUGCCAAGCCGCGAGGUGGAGCUAAUCCCAGAAAAUGCAUCGUAGUCCGGAUCGUAGUCUGCAACUCGACUACGUGAAGCUGGAAUCGCUAGUAAUCGCGGAUCAGCAUGCCGCGGUGAAUACGUUCCCGGGUCUUGUACACACCGCCCGUCACACCAUGGGAGUGGGUUUUGCCAGAAGUAGUUAGCCUAACCGCAAG
This 1443-nucleotide ribosomal RNA is filed under the name uncultured Ralstonia sp. RNAcentral describes it as "bacterial SSU rRNA". It matches the Rfam family "Bacterial small subunit ribosomal RNA". The record is from RNAcentral. Lineage: Bacteria; Pseudomonadati; Pseudomonadota; Betaproteobacteria; Burkholderiales; Burkholderiaceae.